This is a non-coding RNA of Chiloscyllium plagiosum (whitespotted bambooshark), 101 nucleotides long. The record is from RefSeq and is a predicted model, not a curated record. Lineage: Eukaryota; Metazoa; Chordata; Chondrichthyes; Orectolobiformes; Hemiscylliidae.
CAAGGUGAGGGGGAGGGGGGAUGAAGAAACUGGUGAAGUCCAAGUUCACCCCCUGCGGCUGGAGGGUUCCCAGUCGGAGCGAUUCAGAGAACAUCUCUGGG